GCGCGAAAGCGCGAUGAGGGAUCCCAAGUGCUUGCUCGCAAGAGUAAGCUGUUUCUUUGUUUAAAAUGCAUUGAGAGUAAGGGCUGGGUAAGACGGGUGCCAGCCGCCGCGGUAAUACCUGCAGCUCGAGUGGUGACCGCUAUUAUUGGGCCUAAAACGUCCGUAGCCGGUUUAAUAAAUGCCUGGGUAAAUCGUGUAGCUAAACUAUACGAAUUCCGGGUAGACUGUUAAACUUGAGACCGGGAGAAGCUAGAGGUACUCCUGGGGUAGAGGUGAAAUUCUGUAAUCCUAGGGGGACCACCAGUGGCGAAGGCGUCUAGCUAGAACGGGUCUGACGGUGAGGGACGAAGCCCUGGGGCGCAAACCGGAUUAGAUACCCGGGUAGUCCAGGGUGUAAACGCUGCUUGCUUGAUGUUAGUUGGGCUCUGAGCCCAAUUAGUGUCGGAGAGAAGUUGUUAAGCAAGCUGCCUGGGAAGUACGGCGCGAAAGCGCGCGAAAGCGCGCGAAAGCGCGCGAAAGCCA
This 522-nucleotide ribosomal RNA is filed under the name uncultured euryarchaeote. RNAcentral's name for it is "bacterial SSU rRNA". It matches the Rfam family "Archaeal small subunit ribosomal RNA", at positions 357 to 879 of the family's 1478-position model. Lineage: Archaea; Methanobacteriati; Methanobacteriota. The record is from RNAcentral.